This 67-nucleotide transfer RNA is filed under the name Popillia mutans. RNAcentral describes it as "tRNA-Asp". Lineage: Eukaryota; Metazoa; Arthropoda; Insecta; Coleoptera; Scarabaeidae. The record is from RNAcentral.
AAAAAUUUAGUUAAUAUAUAACAUUAGUUUGUCAUACUAAAAUAAUCAAUUAAUUUGAUAAUUUUUA